This 2204-nucleotide long non-coding RNA is filed under the name Octopus vulgaris (common octopus). Lineage: Eukaryota; Metazoa; Mollusca; Cephalopoda; Octopoda; Octopodidae. The record is from RNAcentral.
CUCGCACUAUGUUGCUAAGAGCAUUAAUGGUGCAAAACUAAUGGUAACUCCGUGACUGGCCACAACCAGUUUGUUAUAGGCUUCAAAAAUACGUUUAUGUAUUUGUUUUGCAAGAUUCAUGAUGUGAAAUUGUGUUGCAACAGUUCUUGUUAUAUUUGGGUAUGGUUGUAUUUUUGCCAACUAAACACACUCAGUAUAUAAUUGGUCUUCGCUUCAGUUUUAUUCUUAUUCUUAUUUAGUGUCCUUUAUCUGAAAUCUUUCAUUACACCUCCUAUGUUCUGUUUAGUCCAUUCUGUCUUUCCGUGGUAUGUAUCCUUAUCUGCACAUGCAUUUGUAUCUGUAUCUGUGUUUGUGUAUGUGUGCAUGUCUAUGUGUUUUGUGUGCAUGCAUGUGGGCUUGUUUACUACACUGUUUGCACCUGCAUCUUUUAUUUAGUUAUUUUUUAUUCAUUUAUUUGCUUAUUAAUAUUUUUUUCAUAUUCUAUCUUUAGUAUGUAUAUAUGUGUCUUGUGCAUGUGUAUAGAUUUAUGUAUUAUACUGUUUGUAAGUGGUUUUUUUCUUCUCUCAUUCUGUCUUUAGUCGUCAGGUUGCAUAGUGCAGAUGAAUACAUGAGUGUUAUUCCAUUCAUGUUUUCUGUUGAGGCUCAGUCUGAGUAUUAUUAUGUGUGUGGCUUCUGUAAUCCAAGUGUUGUGUCUGUUCUAUGUAACCAGCAAUGAAGAAAUUUCCUUCAUGUACUAUGACAGAAAUUGUAAAAAAUUCAUUUUACCUGUCCUUUUACCUUACUCUUUUAAAACUUCAUUGUAGGCAUCAGCCAACUACCCAUUGUGCUUAUGCUUUAAGAUAUACUGAUGUAGCUUUAAGGUGUGAACCAACCAUUCACCAAAGAGGAGAGUGAUUUGUUGGAAAAACACUUUCCUCUCAUACAAACGGUCAGUCUUGAAAUGUCAGAUUCUCCUCCACUGGAGAAUGAAAUUAUCCAAAUUCAUGGGAAUAAUAUUUGAAAUUUUACUGUUGCAUAUACAGCUGCCUGCUGGAACUUGACUAAAUUACAGUCAUGUUCUUUCUUUGUGUCACCUCUGAUAAUGAUGUCAUCAAUGUAACAAUAGGUCUUUUGAAGAGAAUUAUCCUGAAUGAAUGAAUCUAUAAUGCAUUGAAAGAUGGUGACAGCAUUGGUACACACAAAUGGUAGGCAAGUAAAUUUGAACAGUUUGCUAUAGGCUUCAAAAACUGUCAUGGAAUUUGAUGAUAGCCUUCCUUCAAGUUGACAGUAGAGAAGUAAUAAUUGUACGUGAUUCUUUCGAGUUAGCUGCAGGAUAAGCGUCAAUAGGACUAAAGCAAUUUAUGGUGUUGGAAUAGUCAACUAUUAGUCUUAAUUCUUGACAUGAUGAAUGACUGUGUGCUCCACGCACUUCUAGUUUCCUGAAUAAUCCCAUUUUCAACAUUCUUUUCAUUUAACCUUCGAUGAACUCUCUAUGACAGUGAUUUCUUCACGAUUUCGUAGCGAUCGAUAUUAAUUUGGACAUAUAAUGUUGGCAACUUAAUUCCUUAAGCACUGCUUUGUUAUACCAUCCAUCCCACUCUAGUGUGACUAAACACAAUCUUAAAUGCUUUUUAUUGGCUAAAAGGAUGGCAUUUUUUGACAUUGUUGGAAAAAGCCCAAACGCUAUGGCCAGAUCUAGACAAAUAAAGACCCUAUCUGAUUCAGCAUCCAGUAGAGUGUGUGAUCAUUUAACUUAUUGCCCAGUGUCCUUUUUGGUGGCAGUUAUUACAGGUAGAGUUUGAAUGAAUAGGUCCACUAGACCAGUAGAAGGAUCAUUCUGAAGCUACCAGAACUGGAGGGCAUGAAGGAUUCAUCAUUGACAAGUUCCUUGCAUCCUUGUUGGCCAAUUCCAUUGUUAAAGCAAGUUUUACCAAUAAUUCUAGGUCGUCUUCGGUAGACUCAAGUAACUAUUGAUGAAUGGUCGAUGAACUUAUUCCUGAGAUGCAAGCAUCGCAAAUUAAUAAGUCAUGAUAUUCUGCACUUAGACACUUCCUUGCAAUAUUUUUCAGGUCUAUCAACUGGUCUUCUGCUUGAGUUUGGUUACGUAAUCUGUAUCAAGCCAUAAUAGAAAAUGUGUUUUUGAUAAGGAGAUUGAGGACUUCCUGGAAUAAGGUACACUCAUUGACAGCACUGAAGGGAAAAAGCAGUUCGGUGAGUAUUUUGCU